This 465-nucleotide ribosomal RNA is filed under the name uncultured bacterium. RNAcentral describes it as "bacterial SSU rRNA". It matches the Rfam family "Bacterial small subunit ribosomal RNA", at positions 331 to 795 of the family's 1533-position model. The record is from RNAcentral.
CCAGACUCCUACGGGAGGCAGCAGUGAGGAAUAUUGGUCAAUGGCCGAGAGGCUGAACCAGCCAAGUCGCGUGAGGGAUGACGGCCCUACGGGUUGUAAACCUCUUUUGCCGGGGAGCAAAGAGCGGGACGCGUCCCGCCUCGAGAGUACCCGGAGAAAAAGCAUCGGCUAACUCCGUGCCAGCAGCCGCGGUAAUACGGAGGAUGCGAGCGUUAUCCGGAUUUAUUGGGUUUAAAGGGUGCGCAGGCGGAUUUUUAAGUCAGCGGUCAAAUCGUGGGGCUCAACCCCAUCCAGCCGUUGAAACUGGCGUUCUUGAGUGGGCGAGAAGUAUGCGGAAUGCGUGGUGUAGCGGUGAAAUGCAUAGAUAUCACGCAGAACUCCGAUUGCGAAGGCAGCAUACCGGCGCCCUACUGACGCUGAGGCACGAAAGCGUGGGUAUCGAACAGGAUUAGAUACCCUGGUAUC